GAUGAACGCUGGCGGCAUGCCUAACACAUGCAAGUCGAUCGGUAAGGCUCUUCGGAGUACACGAGAGGCGGACGGCUGAGUAACGCGUAGGAACACACCCUGCAGUGAGGGAUAAGACACCGAAAGGUGUUCUAAUACCGCAUACGGUCUUCGGAUUAAAGCAUUUAUGCGCUGAAGGAGUGGCCUGCGUCAUAUUAGAUAGUUGGUGAGGUAAUGGCUCACCAAGUCGAUGAUGUGUAGCUGGUCUGAGAGGAUGAUCAGCCAGACUGGAACUGAGACACGGUCCAGACUCCUACGGGAGGCAGCAGUGAGGAAUAUUGCACAAUGAGCGAAAGCUUGAUGGAGCAAUGCCGCGUGCAGGAUGAAGGCCCUCGGGUUGUAAACUGCUUUUAUAAGAGAAGAUUAUGACGGUAACUGAUGAAUAAGGGACGGCUAACUACGUG
This 443-nucleotide ribosomal RNA is filed under the name uncultured bacterium. Its description in RNAcentral is "partial 16S ribosomal RNA". It matches the Rfam family "Bacterial small subunit ribosomal RNA", at positions 28 to 507 of the family's 1533-position model. The record is from RNAcentral.